This 70-nucleotide transfer RNA is filed under the name Ovis aries (sheep). It matches the Rfam family "tRNA". From Rfam's summary of the family: Transfer RNA (tRNA) molecules are approximately 80 nucleotides in length. Their secondary structure includes four short double-helical elements and three loops (D, anti-codon, and T loops). The record is from Rfam by way of RNAcentral. Lineage: Eukaryota; Metazoa; Chordata; Mammalia; Artiodactyla; Bovidae.
UCCCUGGUGGUCCAGUGGUGAGGACUCUGCUUUCACUCCAAGGACCCAGGUUCAAUCCCUGGAUGGGGAA